AGUUGCAGUCCGAUCAGUCUGCCUGUGGAUGGAAAUGUCCCUGAAGAUCCUGUCCAUCACCGUUCUCCUGUUCAUGGGGUCCCUCUGGUCCCCUGCAGCCAGCCAGAUUGGCCCCUGUAAGUACAAAGUUAGAAAUGCUGUUUAUAAAACUCAUUUCUUACUCCAGUCUAACAGACUGUAAUUUCUGUUUUUAAAUUCUUUUGUGUCUGCCUCUCUGUAGAUUUGUACUGAUUUAAAUCCUUUCAAUCGCCUUUAGAAACUCAUCUUUACAGACUUAUUUUUAUGUGAAUUUACUUUUUCAAACACUUCUGUUUUAACUUGAUUAACUUUUUAGAAACUGCAUUGAGGAGAAUUUCUCUUUUUAAAAAACGUCUUCCACAGCUGCAUUUCAUGAAAGGGGAAAACACUUAAAAUUUUUAAUUUACAUUAUAAGAAAUGUACAAAAGGUCCUUAUAUAUAAAUAAGUUUGUUUCCCUCCUCUGUAUGUCUGUGCGUGUUUGUCAGAUAUAAUGUUUAAAGGUCAGCCGUGCUGUCUUGAAGCCGGCACCUCCAUAAGUGAAGAGAUCAUGGAGUGCUUCUUACAGAUACCCACAAAGAAGUGCAACUCCAGUAACUAUGCGUAAGUAAGGCAUAUAUACAUAUAUAUAUAGGUAGGUAGGUAGGUAGACAGAUAUACAGAUAGAUAGAUAGAUAGAUAGAUAGAUAGAUAGAUAGAUAGAUAGAUAGAUAGAUAGAUAGAUAGAUAGAUAGAUAGAUAGAUAGAUAGAUAGAUAGAUAGAUAGAUAGAUAGAUAGAUAGAUAGAUAGAUAGAUAGAUAGAUAUGAAAUCAGAUGAAGCUGUAGUUUUUCUUUUGCAAGAACAUUGGGGGGAGAAGGAGUCCAUUAUUACCAGGUGUUGAAAAAUGAACCUUUUUAUCGUUUGCAUCUAAUUCCAGGGUUAAAGUUCUAGAGGGGAAAUGGUACUGUAUUCGAUCAGACUCGGAGUGGAUGGAAGAGCAAAUACAGGAGGUGAGAAUCAGUCCAUCAGCUUCUCCUGUUGCCACCUUUGCCAUUCUAGAAAAUACAAAUUUAGCUAUCCUUUAGUGCCAAAAGUUGUUCUUGUUGAUGUUUGGUAGGUUUAGUUAAAGGACAGUUACGCUAAUCAUCUUGAUAUAAAACCUACAAAAUGAGUCUUUGUUAGCUAGGAGUAAACGUGACGUCUGAAUAACUCAUGUCGUCCCAAUCAUAGCAACAGACUGUAUAAAACAUUUUAAAAUUUUAACAUUUCAAUAACAUUUUCUUAUUCCUGACUCCUCCACAGGCAAGAGUUGUCUGUACACCAAUAAUGUAAAACAAAAAACUGAAAAGUGCUGUGGAGCGACAAAAGAAAGAGGCUGCUGAGGACUGCUCUGCUGAUGAAACCCUCACAGCUUUAAAUUCUUUAUUUGUUCUAUUUCCUUUGAAAUGCAGUUUUUCGACAUACUUUUCUGCAGCUUUUAGCAACUUUACUGCAGCGGUACUGUGUGAAUGGGUAUUUCUGUCACAUAAGGUUUAUGAACCCGGUGAAACAUCAAGUUUAAUGUGAGUAAAACUUUCAUAUUCUGACUCCAUAAAGGUAAGAAAAUCACAGCAGCUCUCAUCACAUUAGGGGCUGGAAAUGACCUUAAGUCCAAUUACACUUUGCACAGGAAAUUUAUCAGCAUGUUGUGAUUACAAACAAAUCCUGUGAUGGUUUUUAGUUUUAGUUUUAUGAACAUUAAAGAGGCUAGGAUGUCUCUCUCAAGAAUCAAAAUUAAAGAGUGCCAAUCGUCUUUAACUCACUUUUUUUUUUUUUUUUUUAAAUAGAAAAUACUGCCACUCCUGUGUUUGCAACAUGUCUUUACUAAAUAAAAAAUAAACCAAA
Molecule: long non-coding RNA, 1881 nt
Filed under: Xyrichtys novacula (pearly razorfish)
Lineage: Eukaryota; Metazoa; Chordata; Actinopteri; Labriformes; Labridae
Source: RNAcentral